UUGGUGCGUCUCGNCGCAUGUUAUAUAUAACUUUCAGCGACGGAUCUCUUGGCUCUCGCAUCGAUGAAGAACGCAGCGAAACGCGAUAAGUAAUGUGAAUUGCAGAAUUCAGUGAAUCAUCGAAUCUUUGAACGCACCUUGCGCUCCUCGGUAUUCCGAGGAGCAUGCCUGUUUGAGUGUCAUGAAAUUAUCAACCCCUUCUCCUUUAUUGGUGGUGGGGCUUGGACUUGGAGGCUUUGCGGGCUUUUAAACGAGUCGGCUCCUCUCAAAUGCAUUAGCUCGAACCCUUGCGGAUCGGCCAUCGGUGUGAUAUAAUGUCUACGUCGUGGUCGUGAGCGUCGGAUCGGCUUCCAAUGGUCUCCUUUCGGAGACGGAAUUUGAACUUGUGACCUCAAAUCAGGUAGGACUACCCGCUGAACUUAAGCAUAUCAAUAAGCGGAGGAAAAGAAACUAACAAGGAUUCCCCUAGUAACUGCGAGUGAAGCGGGAAGAGCUCAAAUUUAAAAUCUGGCGGCGUCCUCGUCGUCCGAGUUGUAAUCUGGAGAAGCGACAUCCGCGCUGGACCGUG
Molecule: ribosomal RNA, 568 nt
Filed under: Sparassis crispa
Lineage: Eukaryota; Fungi; Basidiomycota; Agaricomycetes; Polyporales; Sparassidaceae
Description: eukaryotic LSU rRNA
Rfam family: 5.8S ribosomal RNA (bases 29-182)
Source: RNAcentral